GCGAGCGGCGGACGGGUGAGUAACACGUGGGUAACCUGCCCAAGAGACUGGGAUAACACCUGGAAACAGAUGCUAAUACCGGAUAACAACACUAGACGCAUGUCUAGAGUUUGAAAGAUGGUUCUGCUAUCACUCUUGGAUGGACCUGCGGUGCAUUAGCUAGUUGGUAAGGUAACGGCUUACCAAGGCAAUGAUGCAUAGCCGAGUUGAGAGACUGAUCGGCCACAUUGGGACUGAGACACGGCCCAAACUCCUACGGGAGGCAGCAGUAGGGAAUCUUCCACAAUGGACGAAAGUCUGAUGGAGCAACGCCGCGUGAGUGAAGAAGGGUUUCGGCUCGUAAAGCUCUGUUGGUAGUGAAGAAAGAUAGAGGUAGUAACUGGCCUUUAUUUGACGGUAAUUACUUAGAAAGUCACGGCUAACUACGUGCCAGCAGCCGCGGUAAUACGUAGGUGGCAAGCGUUGUCCGGAUUUAUUGGGCGUAAAGCGAGUGCAGGCGGUUCAAUAAGUCUGAUGUGAAAGCCUUCGGCUCAACCGGAGAAUUGCAUCAGAAACUGUUGAACUUGAGUGCAGAAGAGGAGAGUGGAACUCCAUGUGUAGCGGUGGAAUGCGUA
RNAcentral lists this ribosomal RNA (614 nucleotides) under uncultured bacterium. RNAcentral's name for it is "bacterial SSU rRNA". It matches the Rfam family "Bacterial small subunit ribosomal RNA", at positions 91 to 692 of the family's 1533-position model. The record is from RNAcentral.